AGCAGCCGCGGUAAUUCCAGCUCCAGUAGCGUAUAUUAAAGUUGUUGCAGUUAAAAAGCUCGUAGUUGAAUUUCGGGGUCUGUCCAUUGGUCGGGCUUCACGGUCCGUACUGGUGUGAUGGGUUCCUACCUUCUGAAUAACCAGCAUGCCAUUUAGUUGGUGCGCCGGGGAAGCAGAGCUAUUACCUUGAAAAAAUUAGAGUGCUUAAAGCAGGCUAGUGCUUGAAUAGAUUAGCAUGGAAUAAUAAAAUAGGACGGCAUGGUUCUAUUUUGUUGGUUUCUAGGAUCACCGUAAUGAUUAAUAGGGAUAGUUGGGGGCAUUAGUAUUCAAUUGUCAGAGGUGAAAUUCUUGGAUUUAUUGAAGACUAACUUCUGCGAAAGCAUUUGCCAAGGAUGUUUUCAUUAAUCAAGAACGAAAGUUAGGGGAUCGAAGACGAUCAGAUACCGUCGUAGUCUUAACCAUAAACUAUGCCGACUAGGGAUCGGACGAUGUUAAUUUUUAAUGACUCGUACGGCGCCUU
RNAcentral lists this ribosomal RNA (520 nucleotides) under uncultured Glomeromycotina. RNAcentral's name for it is "SSU rRNA". It matches the Rfam family "Eukaryotic small subunit ribosomal RNA", at positions 569 to 1089 of the family's 1831-position model. Lineage: Eukaryota; Fungi; Glomeromycota. The record is from RNAcentral.